GGAAUAUUGGUCAAUGGACGAGAGUCUGAACCAGCCAAGUAGCGUGCAGGAUGACGGCCCUAUGGGUUGUAAACUGCUUUUAUACAGGGAUAAAGUGACGUACGUGUACGUUUUUGUAGGUACUGUAUGAAUAAGGACCGGCUAAUUCCGUGCCAGCAGCCGCGGUAAUACGGAAGGUCCGGGCGUUAUCCGGAUUUAUUGGGUUUAAAGGGAGCGCAGGCUGAUUAUUAAGCGUGACGUGAAAUGUAGCCGCUCAACGGCUGCACUGCGUCGCGAACUGGCAGUCUUGAGUGAGUACGACGUCAGAGGAAUUCGUGGUGUAGCGGUGAAAUGCUUAGAUAUCACGAAGAACCCCGAUUGCGAAGGCAGCUGACGAGUCCUUUACUGACGCUAAAGCUCGAAGGUGCGGGUAUCGAACA
RNAcentral lists this ribosomal RNA (419 nucleotides) under uncultured Prevotella sp. RNAcentral's name for it is "bacterial SSU rRNA". It matches the Rfam family "Bacterial small subunit ribosomal RNA", at positions 358 to 774 of the family's 1533-position model. The record is from RNAcentral. Lineage: Bacteria; Pseudomonadati; Bacteroidota; Bacteroidia; Bacteroidales; Prevotellaceae.